GAUGAACGCUAGCGGGAGGCCUAACACAUGCAAGUCGAGCGGUAUUUGUUCUUUGGAACCGAGAGAGCGGCGCACGGGUGCGGAACACGCGUGCAACCUGCCUUUAUCUGGGGGAUAGCCUUUCGAAAGGAAGAUUAAUACCCCCUAAUAUAUUGAGUGGCAUCAUUUGAUAUUGUAAACUCCGGUGGAUAGAGAUGGGCACGCGCAAGAUUAGAUAGUUGGUGAGGUAACGGCUCACCAAGUCAAUGAUCUUUAGGGGGCCUGAGAGGGUGAUCCCCCAGACGGGUACUGAGGACCGGACCAGAAAGCUACGGAGGAGAGGAGUAAGGAAGAUUGGACAAGGGAGUAUCGCCUGAUCCAGCCAUGCCUCAUGAAGGACGGCUGCGCUAGGGGUUGUAAACUUCUUGUGUAGAGGGAUAAUCCUAUACUAGGGAGCGUAGCUGAAGGUACUAGACGAAUAAGCACCGGCUAACUCCGUG
Molecule: ribosomal RNA, 479 nt
Filed under: uncultured bacterium
Lineage: Bacteria
Description: partial 16S ribosomal RNA
Rfam family: Bacterial small subunit ribosomal RNA
Source: RNAcentral